This 312-nucleotide ribosomal RNA is filed under the name uncultured Glomus. RNAcentral's name for it is "SSU rRNA". It matches the Rfam family "Eukaryotic small subunit ribosomal RNA", at positions 570 to 886 of the family's 1831-position model. Lineage: Eukaryota; Fungi; Glomeromycota; Glomeromycetes; Glomerales; Glomeraceae. The record is from RNAcentral.
GCAGCCGCGGUAAUUCCAGCUCUAAUAGCGUAUAUUAAAGUUGUUGCAGUUAAAAAGCUCGUAGUUGAAUUUCGGGAUCAAUAUAUUGGUCGUGCCUCCGGUAUGCACUGGUAUUAUUGAUUUCUACCUUCUGACGAACUGUGAUGUCAUUAAUUUGGUGUCAUGGGGAAUCAGAACUGUUACUUUGAAAAAAUUAGAGUGUUUAAAGCAGGCACACGCUUGAAUACACUAGCAUGGAAUAAUGAAAUAGGACGUUUAACCCUAUUUUGUUGGUUUCUAGGAUCGACGUAAUGAUUAAUAGGGAUAGUUGGG